Long non-coding RNA from Haliotis rufescens (red abalone), 303 nucleotides. RefSeq lists it as uncharacterized. The transcript has 3 exons. Lineage: Eukaryota; Metazoa; Mollusca; Gastropoda; Lepetellida; Haliotidae. The record is from RefSeq and is a predicted model, not a curated record.
CGAGGUACAUGCUUGUACAUGCUGCACAGCUGAACAUAUUAUUUCGAGCGUUCACAUUUUGGUUUGAAAGCCAUUGGAAAGACUUGAAGAACAAACUAAACAAAACGACAUGGACCACGCUGACCUGAAGGGAACUUUUGAAAAGGAAAGAACCGAAAAGCAGAAUGAGGAUAAUGAGGCUCCUACACCGCCCAGUCCGGAUCGCGCACCAGCUGUCUCUCCUCAGGAUUCUGUGCCUAUUGUGCCCAAUGCAUUGGUCGUGAAUGCGCUGUCCCUAAACAAAAAAAAGUCGAUCCUACAGCG